GCUCAGUGGUCUAGUGGUUAAGCGCAGGCACGCGAGACUGAUAUGUCCUGGGUUCGAAUCCCAUUGGGCGU
Molecule: transfer RNA, 71 nt
Filed under: Schistosoma mansoni
Lineage: Eukaryota; Metazoa; Platyhelminthes; Trematoda; Strigeidida; Schistosomatidae
Source: RNAcentral